UAGGAUAGAGAUCAUUUGAAUAUGCACAUUGAGAUAGUUUAUAUCUUCUGGAGACAUCCAUGGUUUGUUAUGCAUUAAAAAUGCACACAGCUGAUUAGAAACUUUUCAGUUCUGUUUGUGUCCACAGGUCCCUAAGCCAAAUGGCAUUCUACUCAAUACACAGGUCUUAGGACAGUGUUGCAUAGAUCAGUCUUGGUGUUUUGCCAGCAGGCAAAAUUUUAAAUAGAAAGGCAGUCUUACCCUUACCUUAUAGGUUACAGAUUCUAAGCAAUCUAUACUAAACUGAGUGUACUUCGUGAUCUUUUAAAGAAAUUUACAAACUUGUAUGGUUUCCGUGUGGUUAGUCUCAAGGUUCAUAUGUUGCAGGAUUGUUCCCAGGGCAGUGGUAUUAAGAGGAACGGAACCUCUAUCAGGCUAGGCCUUGUGAAAGGGAGUCAGGGCAGGGCACAUUGCUUUUGGAAGAUAUUAAUGCCAUCUCAUGGAGAGUUAGUCCCUUGACAGUGAGGUGUUAUGAGAAGAGUGAGUUUAACCCCUGAAAUGUGUCUGUGUCAUCAUCUUACCACGUGACCUCUUCUUUUUAUACCCACUUGCUCACUCUAUAUUGGCUUCUGCCAUGUUGUGAUGUGGGCAGAAGCCCUCACCAAAAGCCAAGUAGGUGCAGGUGUUUACUCUUGAAUCUUAAGCUGUAAGAUAGAAGUAAAAACUCUCACAUUUUAAGCAAUGAGGUUAGGAAUUCAACAUACAAAUGUAGGAAGAGGGAGGGCACAAUUUAACUUAUAAUGCAUUAAAGGGCUUGCACUUUUUGAGAAGUGCCCCAAAAUCUCCAAUGCCAGUGUAACCAUUAAUUUAGCAAUGCAAUUAAUCCACUUAUCUUUCUGUUCUUAAAGUAACUUGUUCUAGCAGGGGUUCUAUACUUUGAUGUUUCCAAUACUGAGAAGAAUGAAUACAUCAACUGUGGUCUUAUUCAAAAUGUAUUUGAAUAUGUCACUGUCCUCUAUAACAUGUUAUGUUCUCUGCAACAUAAAGGAGCUUUAUUCCAUACAUUCAAAGGUAAAUCCAAAAGAAAUCACUCCUACCAUUUGGACAUACAAAGGUAAACCCCAAAAGAAAGACCAAGUGUGUCUUGAGUGACAUGAAGUUGACUCUACUGUGGUUGGGUCAGCCUUAUACAGUAGUUUCUCAUUCUCUCUGGGACCCCUGUGGUCUUGUUUACCACAUAAUUUGAGGAUGAAAUCUUAACUAUGGAGUUCAUGCUCUGAGAAUAUGUCCAAAGCAGGGAAAUAUUCCCUCAGACCAAUCUUUCAUUGAAAUAAGUUGAAUCAAUAUGUUUAACCUGGAUCUAAAUUUCAAUUCAAAAUUAAGAAAGAACUUCCACUUCAUUAGUAUUUCCCCCCAAUUUUUAUUGAAGAUUUCCAUGUGCACAGUGUUAAACUUUUAUAGUGUUAAAGUUAAAUCUUAGAUCUAAAAGCAACUCUUUCCAUCCAACUUUCCCUGUCCCCAAAUCAUUGCUACCCUGAAACAAUCACUCAGGACACACUUUGGCCUUUCUUUUGGGGUUUACCUCUGUAUAUCCAAACAAUAGGAGUGAUUUCAUUCAAGGUAUCUAGAAUGCUGGAUACCUUGUCUUUGAUUAUCAUCUUUUAUUGACUUCCUACUAGGUAUGAUGAAACUUGUGUGUUCUCUCUCUCUCUCUCUCUCUCUCUCUCUCUCUCUCUCUCUCUCUCUCUUUGGUACCAGGAAUCAAACUCAUGACCAUAUGCUUGCCAGGCAGGCACUUAUACUGCUGAGCCAAAUCCCUGGCCCAAUUGUGUUCUCUUUUAAGUUUCCUCUUCUUCUUCUAUCAUCUUUUUAACAUAGUUUGUGUUUGGCAGCUUUCUGUUGCUAAAACAAAAUACCUGAAAUAAUUAAUUUAUAAGCCAAUCAUUAAUUUGGCUCAUGAUUUUAAAGAUUUCAACCCUUGAUAUUAGGCCUAUGGUGAAACAGCACAUUGUGGCAGGAACACACAGUGGGGAAAGUCACCCACUCAAUUAGCUAAAAAGAAAGAGGGCAAUAGAGGGUUGGCUCCCAUAAUCCCUUGCAAGGGCAUAGCCCCAGUGAGUAAAACACCUAUACUGGGCCUCAUACCUUGAAGUUUUAACCCCUUCUCCAUAGCUAUCCUGAGAACACAGCCUUUAACAUAUGGGGAUACUUUUGGGUUUACUUAGGGUAUACUUAACUUUUGGGGAUACUUAGGAUUUAAAACACAGAGGACAACCAGACACCAGCCCCUUCCUGUUAGCACCAUUCACAGGCCACAGGGCAGAGAACAAGAAGUCAGCCACUUUCCAUGAUUCAGCACCAUGCACAGGUCAUGAGGAGGACAAUCAGAUGCCAGCCUCUCUUGGCAUGUGGGCUGGGAAACGAGAAGAGCUAGGGUUCCCUACACACACACACACACCGUGAGCAACCAGCUGAGCUGAAGAAACAUAGGCUGAGAUGAUAGCUAUUGAAAUAAAGUAUAACUGAAUGCUUGUAGUGUUUACUAUUUCAUUGAUUUUUGCAAGCCUAAAGGCAGAAAUCUGAUCAUCUAUAUAGAGGAUAACAAUACACAGUAUAGCCUCUAUGGGGGAUCUUGUUCUAUCAUAUUGUUGUAAUGUCCUGUAUUGUUUUGUUUGGUUUGGUUUCAUUUUGUUUCAUCUUGUGUGAUUUUAUUAUAUCUGUUUUUUAAUUUUUUUUAUUUUAAGGAGAUUAAGACAAAACAGGACAUAACAGAGAAGAUCAGAACAGAACAAUGUCUGAUGGUAUGGGCAGCCAUUCUGAAGACAAGAGGCAGCUGUUGCUGAUUUCCUAUAAUCUUGUUUUGAAAACUUGUAUCACUUACACUGUUUGGUUCUGAUUGGCUUUAUUCUGUUUUAUUUUGCUUGAUUUUAUUCUCUUUAAAAUAAAAAAAUUAUAAAAAGAUUUAAAA
This is a long non-coding RNA of Cavia porcellus (domestic guinea pig), 2947 nucleotides long. RefSeq lists it as uncharacterized. Lineage: Eukaryota; Metazoa; Chordata; Mammalia; Rodentia; Caviidae. The record is from RefSeq and is a predicted model, not a curated record. The transcript is spliced from 2 exons.